CCCGUGUUGCCCGAACCUAUGUUGCCUCGGCGGGCCCCGCGCCCGCCGACGGCCCCCCUGAACGCUGUCUGAAGUUGCAGUCUGAGACCUAUAACGAAAUUAGUUAAAACUUUCAACAACGGAUCUCUUGGUUCCGGCAUCGAUGAAGAACGCAGCGAAAUGCGAUAACUAAUGUGAAUUGCAGAAUUCAGUGAAUCAUCGAGUCUUUGAACGCACAUUGCGCCCUCUGGUAUUCCGGAGGGCAUGCCUGUCCGAGCGUCAUUGCUGCCCUCAAGCCCGGCUUGUGUGUUGGGCCCCGUCCCCCCCGCCGGGGGGACGGGCCCGAAAGGCAGCGGCGGCACCGCGUCCGGUCCUCGAGCGUAUGGGGCUUCGUCACCCGCUCUAGUAGGCCCGGCCGGCGCCAGCCGACCCCCAACCUUUAAUUAUCUCAGGUUGACCUCGGAUCAGGUAGGGAUACCCGCUGAACUUAAGCAUAUCAAUAA
This 482-nucleotide ribosomal RNA is filed under the name Penicillium citrinum. RNAcentral describes it as "eukaryotic LSU rRNA". The stretch from base 108 to 261 matches the Rfam family "5.8S ribosomal RNA". The record is from RNAcentral. Lineage: Eukaryota; Fungi; Ascomycota; Eurotiomycetes; Eurotiales; Aspergillaceae.